GCAUAAUCAUUUGCCUUUUAAUUGAAGGCUAGCAUAAACGGACCCACGAGACUUAUACUGUCUUCUUUAAUGACUUAAAAACUAUACUCCUAGUGAAGAUCCUAGGAUAACCUUGAAAGACAAGAAGACCCUAUAGAGUUUAAGUUGUAAAAUUUCCUUUACAACCUCCAACUUUGGUUGGGGCGACCAAGGAUUUAACACCAACAUCCUCCAAAAACAAAGAAACUUCUGCAUAACAAUCCCUAUAAAGGAAACGUAACUAACUACCUUAGGGAUAACAGGCUUAUCUUCCUAAAGAGCCCAAAUCGAAAGGAAGGUUUGGCACCUCGAUGUUGGCUUAGAGUAACCUAAUAAAGCAAAAAUUAUUAAGGUUAGUUUGUUCAACUAUUAAAUCUCU
This 397-nucleotide ribosomal RNA is filed under the name Hodor sp. 666-2 PB. Its description in RNAcentral is "partial 16S ribosomal RNA". It matches the Rfam family "Bacterial large subunit ribosomal RNA", at positions 1959 to 2597 of the family's 2925-position model. The record is from RNAcentral. Lineage: Eukaryota; Metazoa; Annelida; Polychaeta; Phyllodocida; Polynoidae.